CCUACGGGUGGCAGCAGUGAGGAAUAUUGGUCAAUGGACGCAAGUCUGAACCAGCCAUGCCGCGUGCAGGAAGACUGCCCUAUGGGUUGUAAACUUCUUUUGUACGAGGGUAAACGCAAAUACGCGUAUUUGUCUGAACGUAUCUUACGAAUAAGGAUCGGCUAACUCCGUGCCAGCAGCCGCGGUAAUACGGAGGAUUCAAGCGUUAUCCGGAUUUAUUUGGUGUAAAGUGUGCGUAGGCGGUCGGAUAAGUUAGAGGUGAAAGCCCGAGGAUCAACUUAGGAAUUGCCUCUGAUACUGUGCGGCUAGAGAGUAGUUGCGGUAGGCGGAAUGUAUGGUGUAGCGGUGAAAUGCUUAGAGAUCAUACAGAACACCGAUUGCGAAGGCAGCUUACCAAGCUACUUCUGACGUUGAGGCACGAAAGCGUGGGGAGCAAACAGGAUUAGAUACCCCAGUAGUC
Molecule: ribosomal RNA, 460 nt
Filed under: uncultured bacterium
Lineage: Bacteria
Description: partial 16S ribosomal RNA
Rfam family: Bacterial small subunit ribosomal RNA
Source: RNAcentral